RNAcentral lists this ribosomal RNA (222 nucleotides) under uncultured Staphylococcus sp. Its description in RNAcentral is "partial 16S ribosomal RNA". It matches the Rfam family "Bacterial small subunit ribosomal RNA", at positions 144 to 355 of the family's 1533-position model. Lineage: Bacteria; Bacillati; Bacillota; Bacilli; Caryophanales; Staphylococcaceae. The record is from RNAcentral.
UAACUUCGGGAAACCGGAGCUAAUACCGGAUAAUAUUUCGAACCGCAUGGUUCGAUAGUGAAAGAUGGUUUUGUCUAUCACUUAUAGAUGGACCCGCGCCGUAUUAGCUAGUUGGUAAGGUAACGGCUUACCAAGGCGACGAUACGUAGCCGACCUGAGAGGGUGGAUCGGCCACACUGGAACUGAGACACGGUCCAGACUCCUACGGGAGGGCAGCAGCAU